RNAcentral lists this ribosomal RNA (127 nucleotides) under Microcebus murinus (gray mouse lemur). The record is from RNAcentral. Lineage: Eukaryota; Metazoa; Chordata; Mammalia; Primates; Cheirogaleidae.
GUCUACAGCUAUACCACCCUGGAUGCACCCGAUCUCGUCUGAUCUCGGAAGCUAAGCAGCUAAGCAGGGUCAGGCCUGGUUAGUACUUGGAUGGGAGACUGGGAAAUAAAGCAUGGAUGAGAAGGUG